This 5691-nucleotide unclassified non-coding RNA is filed under the name Sitophilus oryzae (rice weevil). RNAcentral's name for it is "uncharacterized LOC115874962, transcript variant X4". The record is from RNAcentral. Lineage: Eukaryota; Metazoa; Arthropoda; Insecta; Coleoptera; Curculionidae.
UUCCUCUCCGUUCGGACAUUUUCAGUCGCCGGCGACGGCUCAGCGAUUUCACUGGCCAAUAAGAUUCGCGCGGGAAGCACACGUGACAUAGUUUAACCAAUUGGGAUGUGUGGAUUUGAAUUCCCUCUUCGUUUUUCGUCUAUUCUAGGACUUUUGUAUACAUUCGUCGGGUGUAUAGUGCUGUCAAUGUUAAAAUGUGUUUAUGUUCAAUUUUGUGGGAAUAAUAGAUAGACAUAAGUAAUUAUCUAUACUGACAUAUUUUUUCAUUCAUAUUGAUCUUGAAUACAAAAUGUCGGCAGCCAUGGACAUGUUUCUAAGCGCGUCGGAUUCUCUACCGUUUCCGGACGUGUUGGACAUCGAUAUCAAAUCAGAAAUAGACACUCUAGUUGGUCACAACGAUUUCUCCGGAUACAGUUUCAACAACAUUGAACCUCUAGAAUUCGAAAACGAAAUCAAAUGGUUCAACUCGAAUUCGAAUCACUCGAUCCUGGAUUUCAGCGGUGACGAUGGCCCCACGAUGGUCAAUCCCAAUGCCGUUAUGCCUGUGAUGACGAUCGCUUCGUCGAACGUGGGAAGAAGUCCGUCGCCUUCCGUCAACCAAAGCCACCUUACGUUUUCACCGUCGUUAAUAAAAAUCUCCUCUCUCAAAACUGACACCUCUUCAGUAAAGAAAGAUCUCCUGAACAGACUAGAAGGCUUCGACACUACACAAAAGAAACAUACCCCCUCUCCUGUGAUGCCCAUAACUAAAGUGGCACCGAUCUUAGCCAAACCAGCUUUGGCCAAGCCCAUCACCCUAAAAACCACCAACUCGAACCCGACAAUUUUGAUAAGAAAUCCAGUGAAACACAUAACCACACCAAUCAUCACUCAGCUGGGCAGUAUAACGACCAUAAGAGCCCUACCAGCAAACGCCCUAUCUCAUGCGAUUCAUCGAAAAUCCGUCAACGUGACGAAACCCGUCGAUCGUACCACAGAGGAUCACCGAGCUUAUCCCAAGCCGGCCUACAGCUACUCGUGUCUCAUAGCGAUGGCUUUGAAGAAUAGCAGAUCGGGCAGCUUACCCGUUUCCGAGAUCUACAAUUUUAUGUGCAAGCAUUUCCCGUAUUUUAAGACGGCGCCGAACGGAUGGAAGAAUUCCGUAAGGCACAACUUGUCGCUGAGCAAAUGCUUCGAGAAGAUCGAGAAACCGGCGCUGAACGGUACGCACCGGAAAGGAUGUUUGUGGGCUAUGAAUCCAGCUAAGAUCAGUAAAAUGGACGAGGAGGUGCAGAAAUGGUCACGGAAGGAUCCUAGUGCUAUUAGGAAGGCUAUGGUUAAUCCAGAACAUUUGGAACUCCUGGAACGUGGCGAGUUGAAGUUUUCGUGCUCGUAUGACGAUGAAAACGACAAUUUCGGCGAUUCUUGCGGAUCUGCGGAAAGUGGCGAGGGUUCGGAUUCCGAAGAAGAAGUAGUUCACGAGGAAAUUGAAGAAGCUGAUAUCGAUAUAGAGGGAGGACAAUUUCAUUAUAUUCAAGUUGGAGAGGACGAGAUUGAAGAAUAUGAGGAAGUGACGGAAUAUUCCCAAUACGAGGACGAUAUGGAAGGAGACAAACAAUUAUUACGAGUAGAAAUGGCGCUCGCCCAAAAAGAACUUGACCUGGAAUACGAAAAAACCAUAAACAAUAAACGAAGACGAACUUAUAUAGUGCAACAACAUUAACUGGUAUGUAGUUGGCAAUUCGUAUUGUAAUUAAAUAUUACGUGUAUUAUAAAAUGUAGUAUGUUUUUUAUUGUAAAAAAGAUUGAUUUUGUUAAAAACAAUUUGGAAUUGUUUUAAAGGGGGUUAGCGGAUAUAAUAAAAUUUGAUGUUAAAUAGAUGUUUUGAAAAGCUUACAAGUCAAGUUCUUUGAAUUUUUACCUAUUAAAUUAUUAUUGAUAUUUGUACAACAUAAAUAUAAUGUAAAAUUUCAAACUACAAUACAUAUUGAAUGUCCAUACUUUAUUUACUUAUGUACCAUUUAAACAGUUUAAAAUGACCUACAACAGCUUACUUCGGAAUCGGUAAUAACAAGAACCCGAACAAAGCUAAUAAUUUUAAUAUAAAUUUAGGGUAUUCUUGCUAUUGAAGCACCUGCGUUUUCAGCUGUAAUAACAUUAUUUUAAUGCAGUUUGAAUAUUUAUUUAAGGAAUUACUAAAAUACAUUAUUUCGCAUUUUUUGCAAUACAUACCUUCUUUAUUUUACAGUUACAUUUCAAAUUUCCUGUGAGUGGAAAACUAUAGUUAAGAAACGAAGAACUACUACGCUCCAUUUGUGGUGACGUCGUGUUGCGGAAGGUCAGUGUCGCAAAAUCUAAACAAAGCCUUUGACAAAGCAUGAAUUAACCCACUAUUAAUCCGUUUUUUUCUCGUUUAUUAUUAUAUUACUGUUUUCUUAAGGAUAAUUGUAUUUUUCCAAGUAAGUACAUUUAAUUUUUAACCGUACCAGUGCACUUUAUAGUUAAUAAAUUCUAUAAUACUAUGGAAAUUCGUGUUCUUUAUUGUUUUAACAUAACCUCAUAUUACAUAUCCCUAUAUGUAUCCUUUUGUGUAAUUAUACGUAUAGUAAACGCUUAUAUACUUACUCAGAAAGAAAGAAAAAUAAGAAAAAUUAGAUUAUCCCAUUAUAUUCUUGCAAGAUUCUUGCUUUGUUUGGAUUUUGCGGCACUGACCUUCCGCUACAUGACGUCACACUAAUGGAGCGUCUUAAGAAAUGAAACAUUAUAUCGAAACAUUUUCAUUUACUUAAUAUUCUUAAAUCUUUCAUCUAGUGCUAUAGUUUCGUAGCCAUUUUAUGUGACAACUGGGUUACUCUAAAUUGGUGGUCCGUUUUUUAAUGAGUAAGAUAAAGAUGAUAAUACCUAAUUUACAUUAUAUCCAGUUGAGACAGAGACAGACAGAUAUGUGCUGUAAGGCGUAAUUAAACAGUACACUUGAGGUGGAACUAUAUUUUAUUAUAAUUUCUAAAAUAAAGCAAAAUAAUAGUAUAUUGUUUUAUUAGGAGCAAAAAUGACACUUUUUGUGGCCAGGCUGUACGUUUGACAUUACAGGCGAGACACAAAAAGUCAUUUUUACUCUGAUUAGAACAAGCUAUUUUUUUCAGAUAAAAACUAAUACUUUAUUAUAAGUAUUUUUUUUGCUUUUCAUUUUGUUAGAAAAUACCUUAAUGUUUUUAGUGACACACUUGUAUCUCAAUUGUAGUUAAGACGUUUUUCCUUAACACGGCAGUAUAAUAAAAGUUUCUUAGUAGAUUUUAUUGUUUUUAUGGAAAAUCCGACAACAGCGCAUAGAAAAAUCUCUUGAGUAUCUUCAUCAUUUUCUAACACGUUGAAAUCCAGACUACCGAUUUCGGAUGACCAGAGCUGUAUAAAGUUUUAAAAUAUUUUCACUGAGUUACAAAGCUUUUCAAAACAUGGUCCUUAUAUAUUUAAACUAACUUUAGCUAAUAAGUUAGUUUAGUCGACGUUGUAUACGUUGUUGCGUGCUUUCGAAUCUACUUUAUAAUAAUUAUCUAAUGUCGACUACUUCUUUUACUUGGUGCAAAUUCAACAACAGCACGAACUGUUUGGGGACUAAUUCUCGAAUGUCGAUUUUCAAUAACAAAUAUACUGUUCAGAAAGUGUAUUUAGCACGAUUUCACGUUAAAUAUACACUAUCAUAAUAUUUUCAAUGAGUACGUUUUGGCAGCAUCGCAAAUCUCGUAAUUAUGACAGUUGUUUUAUGGAUAGGAAGUCUGGGAAACUAAAAAAUAACCCAAGUAGCAUUUUUGGACACAUUUUAGGUAAUGUUUCUAAUAAUAACUAAACUUUAUAACUAAAACUUUUCAGUUGUAAUCAUCUGCUGAUGAUGUUAACAUGGUUAGCGAAACGCGCGUCCAGUGUAAAACUAAAAGUAUUUUGGUGUAUUGUAGUGAUUUAGUAUUUUAUCUUGCUGUUGUAACACCAAAGGUUACAACCCCCAACGGUAACAAUCAUUCAUUGUUAAGUCGAUGCUAGCCAAUGUGUCAAAAAUAAGCGUCAGAUAAUAUCAAUAUGAAACUACUCAAGAGUUGCCAUUUUUAGUUGCUAGUUUAGCUCCUAAUUAGGCACCAACAAUUUUUAUGAAUCUUAUAAAUCAUUCCUUUUUCGUUCAAAUGAUAUUCAAGAAUAUCCUUGAGGUUGGAACCGUUGGUGUUGACAGAAAAAUAAACCACUAGUUUACCACAAUACACCAUAAUACUUUUAACAUUAGACGCGCGUUUCGUCAUCCGUGUUAAUGCAUGUCAUCAGCAGAUGAUUAAAACUAUCAGUUUCUAUCAUCCGCUGAUGAUGCUAACCUGGUUAUCAAGACUCGCGUAUUCAUAAUGGUCUCCAUCUAGUAAUGUUCCUUUGUUAAUUUUUAGACUCUAUAAUAUACAGGGUUGUGCACCGGCGUUAGAAACAUAGGAAAUUCCAUGCAAAUUUUGAACAGUUCCGAUAUUUUCUCCCGUUUAUUUUCCAGUGAAGUCGAUUAUAGUUUUAAAAAAAAUUGCAAUUAAAAACAAUUACAGUAUGUGUUAAUACAAAACAAGCAAGGUUUUAUUUAAAAAAAACACCACAUACCAAAAAAGAUAUAAAAAACAUUUCCGAUUAUUAUUUACCUAUCGUGUGCUGCUAUUUUACAGACACUCCAGUUUUUGGUAUCAUAUACAAGAUAGAAUAUAAACUUUAUUUGUAGCUAAUACAUCUCUCUGGACAUUAUCUCUGGCAAACUGUCUCUGGCGGUCUCUGGGCACCGAAUAUUAACUGUAAACUAUGGUCUGGGUCAACACUUCAAUCUUCCCGCGAGUUUUCCUCCACUUAAUUUUAAAAAACAAAAUAUUUAUCGUUUCUAUUUGACAUAAUUUGACACAAAAUUAUAACCUAUAAAUUAGCAAGAGUUUGACAACUCUGAAAAAUCUUAAGACGAGUUCACACGCAUCAGCGUUCGUUUGUCGUUCAUCUUUCCGUCAAACCAAUAAUAUUGAAAUAUGGUCUGUCAUUUUUGAAAUAAACCAAUAAAACUGGUUAAAAACAAUAAGAGAUGACGCAUGACGGAUUUAUAUAUAAACCCAUCCAUAGUUAACUUAAAAAAUAUUAGCAUUUUUUUUAGUUAAAUAAAUGGAGUGGUAUGGACGUCAUCUACUUUUUUUCUGUCAUCGUCUGUCAAAAUCAUAUGUCUAAUAGGUAUUAUUAUGGUUUUGUAUAAAAGAAGUUUAUUCUCAAGCGAUAGUUUAGAUCUUCCUAUCAACCAAUAUAUGUCGUCUUUUAUUUUAAAAUCUAUUUGCUUACGUUUCUUUACUAUGUGUUCUCUCCAGGUAAGCUUAGUAUCCAAGUGCAUGCUUAAGUACUUGGUAGAGGAAGACUGCGGAAUUAGUGUGUUGUUUAAAUAUACUGGAGGGCACUGGUCUCUAUUUAAAGUAAAAGUUACUUGGGCCGAUUUUGAUGCAUUAAUUUUUAUUUUCCAGUCACGUAACCAUGCCUCUAUUACAUUUAGAUGUCUUGUAAUAUCAAGGAAGCUGUUUCCGGCUUUUUAUUGACAGCCAUAAUUACUGUGUCAUCUGCAAAAGUAGCCGUUGUUGUUUCAUUGUUUGUGGGAAAGUCUGCUGUAAAAAAGUAUUCUGUACUCGACAUUCGAGAAUUGACACCCUGUAUAAAUUCAAACAUACGUUUCGA